Molecule: non-coding RNA, 1282 nt
Organism: Camellia sinensis
Lineage: Eukaryota; Viridiplantae; Streptophyta; Magnoliopsida; Ericales; Theaceae
Source: RefSeq, a predicted model, not a curated record
AAUCGAUGAUGAAUAAUAUGCGAAAGAGAGGCGAUGGAAAGAAGCAAGCCCUAGUAGUCUCUAAACUCUCAUCAGCCUUCCAGACUAAACAUGUCUCGAUGGGAGGGACGAGAAUCCGACUUAAGAGGCCACCGUUCCAAGUUCGAUCGAGAACCCAGUACCAAAAAAUCAACAAGGGGUGGAAAACCAGCCACUGAGAGGCCCUCUAGCAACCUUAAUUUGGAUCGUAGUGGCUAUUCAGAUAGGGAUCCGAAGCACCAUCAACGGCUGCAAGACACUUUGCCCCUUGAGGCCCCACCAGCACCCAGUUCUAAGGUAAAAAUUGGGGCUGGGAGCAAAGCAUUUGGAAAGCAAACCAAUGGACAACAUGACGGAACCAAAAAUUCUUCUAAUCCUACUCAAGUGCCACGGUCUCAAUCAUAUUUCCAGUGUCCAGUGCGUCGAUGUAUAUAACAAUCUCAGGGUUGCAUGUGCAUGUCUUAUAGCAGCACGGUGAGCGUGGUAAUGCCGCACAAGCUGGUCGAACCACUGGUUGUGGACCUGCUACCGAGCGUGGAUGGUGGAAGGACUCAAAGGAUCAGCAUAUUGAAAGGUCAAUGGAGAAAACAUCAAUUUGCGAUACAAAGCAAAGAGUUGAAAUAUCCCAAGCUAAGGGGGUUGACAAUCGGGUUUGGCACCAUAAUAGAUUCUAUGAAAUAGAGGCAGAUCGACAACCUCCUGCGAGGAAAAGACCCUCAUUUAGAGAAAAAAAGAUUCCAGCGGACUUUGAAAAUGCUGACAAAGCAGGAGCCGAGCCGUUGAGGCCAAGCCGUCCUGAUCAACCUUCAUUAGGAAGCGAAAGAAGGGAAGAGAAAGGAAGCCACAACUGCCACUAUUCAGACAAACCCGAAAUGUCAUUUUUAGGAAACAGGGAGGCAAACAGGGGAGAAGCACAGGGGGGUAGUUUUCCAUUAAGAGAUCGGUAUGGUGGUGGCAGUACUUAUAGGGGAAGAGGACCGAGCGGUGCACGAAUCGAGAAAUGGAAACAUGACAUGUUUGAGGAGGCUAAUCGGAGUCCGACCCCGAAGAACGAAGAUGAUCCGAUCGCCAAGGUUGAAGCAUUCUUGGCUUCUUAGAUAUAUGCAGUUGCUUGUGGAUGAGUUUCAGUUUGUUUGUCAUUCAAUUGCAUUGUUGCGUGUGUUUUAUUUGUGAUUUUAGUCUGUUUUUCUAAUCAUUUUUAAUUUAAACAAUAAUACUCAUGUUUUUGUUGUUUUAACUUAAAUGGAGCUUAAAAUUUGUCUAA